RNAcentral lists this small nuclear RNA (71 nucleotides) under Ophiophagus hannah (king cobra). Its description in RNAcentral is "7SK RNA". It matches the Rfam family "7SK RNA", at positions 17 to 91 of the family's 331-position model. From Rfam's summary of the family: 7SK was discovered as an abundant small nuclear RNA in the mid-70s but a possible function has only recently been suggested. Two independent studies have found that 7SK RNA binds the CDK9/cyclin T complex (known as elongation factor P-TEFb). Lineage: Eukaryota; Metazoa; Chordata; Lepidosauria; Squamata; Elapidae. The record is from Rfam by way of RNAcentral.
UGGCUGAAAUAUCUGUCACCACAUUGAUUGCCAGGAUUGAUUUGGCUGAUCUGGAUGGGUAUUUGUUUCCU